UCCUACGGGAGGCAGCAGUGGGGAAUAUUGCACAAUGGGGGAAACCCUGAUGCAGCAACGCCGCGUGAGUGAAGAAGUAUUUCGGUAUGUAAAGCUCUAUCAGCAGGGAAGAAGAAAGACGGUACCUGACUAAGAAGCCCCGGCUAACUACGUGCCAGCAGCCGCGGUAAUACGGAGGAUGCGAGCGUUAUCCGGAUUUAUUGGGUUUAAAGGGUGCGCAGGCGGGGGAUCAAGUCAGCGGUAAAAUGUCGGGGCUCAACCCCGGCCGGCCGUUGAAACUGGGUUUCUAGAGUUGGAGAGA
Molecule: ribosomal RNA, 301 nt
Filed under: uncultured bacterium
Lineage: Bacteria
Description: bacterial SSU rRNA
Rfam family: Bacterial small subunit ribosomal RNA
Source: RNAcentral